GUUAUUACAUGUUGUUCUUGUUGU
This 24-nucleotide non-coding RNA is filed under the name Cricetulus griseus (Chinese hamster). Lineage: Eukaryota; Metazoa; Chordata; Mammalia; Rodentia; Cricetidae. The record is from RNAcentral.